UUAAAUUUUACGUACAUACACACACACACACACUUAAUAUUAGGAGUAUUAUCAAAUAUUAUUAACAAUUUUAGGCUCAAUUUGAUUGACAGAAACUAUUCCGAUGGCAGAUAUGUUGAAAUCUUUACCCACCGUGUUGGGAGCAUAGGAGCAUCAAGCAGAAGGACAGUGUUUAUUAGAGGGACAAACACCAAACCAUGAGAAGUCUGUAAGAUUGCUGGGAGGAACAUAAAGGCUAACAUUUUUUAAAAGAGAAAUGCAGCAUUUAAGACAAAAGACCUGAACAAAAAAAAAGUGCAUCAAGGUGAUGUCUCCGUUUAUGUAAAGAUUGUAGACUUAAUUUCUCUAAAGCAUCAGUAUAAGUAUAUGAAAUAUGAGGGAAAAAACGAUAAAAACAGAUGGAUGCAAACUUCCGCUGGAUGUGCUCAAGCUUAUUGGCAUCAGUCAAGUUGAUGGAGUUCCAAACUACUGAGGCAUAUUUCAACUUGGACCUGACUAGAGACACGGAAAAUCUGUAGUUCUCGCAGGCAGCACGCAUUUUCAUGGAGUGUGAUGUGGGAGUUCCAUAAUGAAACCUGCCUAAAGCAUUAUAUCAGCUUCCACUUUGGUUGGUCUAAAUCACUCUCAUGUAUGUCUUACAGAAGUGUUAGUAGUUACAAACGUUUGGUAAAGUUUUUGUAUAUAAGUAAAAUGGACUCUCUGUGCUUGCACCUUACCUCUCUUUUGCUAGUUUAUAUCGAAUAAAGUACAUCCAAUGAUAUCUCUUUCCCGAAACUCAUCCUGUAAACUUUGGCUCUCAUAUCUGCAUACAGUAUCAGCAUGUGACAAUUUGGAUUAAUUGACAGUGGGCUUUUCUAAACACCUGGUAACUUGAAAAACUGUUGUCUUCUUAGAUGUGAGGCCUUGUAGACUGGUAGAAUGUUACCAUCACUUUGGAGGAACAUGUAAAGUGAUAAGACCCUGAAGAUGGAGGCCUCAAAUUUGUCAGAAAUGUUGGUAACAUUCUACCAGACUACAUGGUGUCACAUCCCAGAAAACUGAAAUCUUUGUGGUUACAGCCAUAUUCCUAUGCAAGACCUUAGCCGAAGACUUGUUCGCUUAGAGAGUAUACGUUGUAAUUGCACAUGUAGGGAAUACACAGUCAUGAGUAGAUAACAGUUGGUUUUGAUACGUAAGUUGCUGUCUGAUUGCAGAGGUAAUUGUAAGUAUAAAUUAGAUAUGAACUGCUGCAGCUUUAGGGGUGGGGAGGGGGGAAUGUUAAGGCCUUUUUUUUUUAAGGCAUUGGUACAGUUAGGAAUUUCUUGGCAGCUAAUUCCUCAAUCAUCUGACAAGCCACAGUGGACAGUUUAGGCAUUGUAUUGAUGUAGAAUUCUGUAAUACAAGUUUAUGGAAGUAUGACUGCCAUAACUUGGCUAAGGUAAAGACAGAUGGGUUGCAGCAUAGUGAAAGCAAUAUGAAUCACUUCGUUGAAUUGUAACAUAAUCCAUAGAAUGUUUGACAGUUUAGGACUUACACUGUUGCAAGAUAUUUUACAUUAAUUGUAUCCAAAAAUUAUAUACACUGAAGCGAAUAUAAACAUUCUGAUGUAUGUGAGGCUGUUUGGAUGCUUCUGGGUGGGAUAUUUGUAAUUUAUUUUAAUAAAUACUCUUCAGAGUCUGUUA
This is a long non-coding RNA of Cryptotermes secundus, 1661 nucleotides long. RefSeq lists it as uncharacterized. The transcript is spliced from 2 exons. Lineage: Eukaryota; Metazoa; Arthropoda; Insecta; Blattodea; Kalotermitidae. The record is from RefSeq and is a predicted model, not a curated record.